Hemicordylus capensis (graceful crag lizard) is the source of this 873-nucleotide long non-coding RNA. RefSeq lists it as uncharacterized. The transcript is spliced from 3 exons. NCBI's taxonomy places the organism in Eukaryota, Metazoa, Chordata, Lepidosauria, Squamata, Cordylidae. The record is from RefSeq and is a predicted model, not a curated record.
GAAAGAAGCAAAAAUCAUGAAAGAAUGCUAAAGGACCCAUGUGUAGGAGCAACACUUCUUCACAAGAGCCCCUGGAAGGUGCAGGAGUCUUUGAAUUUCACAUGAAGAAUUAUUUUUCAACACACCUACGAAGUUUCAUUGUGGUGUCUUGGUACUCAAAGGAGAAGAUGUGCUACAAGCAAUUUCCCCAAAGGAAAAAUGCCCGCAGAAGCUUUCAUAUACCUGUAUGUUUUCCCUAGUAGGGAAAAUAACAGCUUGGGGCAGGGGGCGGGGGACAACUCUUUUCAAAGGCACAGGAGGAAAGGGUUUAACUAGGAUCACUAGGCUCCUGAUCCAAAUGAGUGGCCCUCACAGCUGCUUAGAAAUGGAGCCUCCGCUCAGUAGCAGAGCAUCUGCUUUGCAUGGAGAAGGUCCUCAGUUCAGGCGCUGGCAGCAUCUCCAGUUAAGACUGGGAACGACCCUCGAGCAUGAAACUCUGGAGAGCUGCUGCCAUGCAGAGUAGACCGCACUGAGCUAGACAGACCAAGGAUCUGACUCAGCAUCAGACAGCUUCCUACAUGUAAAAAUAUAUACUUAAAGGAACAGGAGAUCCAGUUAUGACUCUCCAUUGUCUUGCGCACUUUGGCCCUCAGAGAGAUUAAAAAAUAAAUAAAUCCUGGAUGUUGACAAUGAGCCGCAAUUGUAUUCAUAGUUCCGCUGAAGAAGGGCCUGUUCUGGUUCCUAUGACAUCUUCAGGCAAUGGCGCUCUUACCCCCGGACCAGGGCCCCCACACCCCCUGGGGGCCCCCAAAUCCUCUUUAGUCUCUCCCGGGUGGUGUGGCUGCCACACUGUGCCGUCAGCACCACUGUGACCUGUGCUGGGCGGCUGAGUGU